CUGUUGGAAAUUGGUAAUCUUUCCCCUUAAGGCAUUUGUCUUGCCUAUUGUAACACCCUAAAAUGUGUUUUCUGGGAAAUAGAGCUAAAAUGAUUUAAGUAUGAAUUUUUGUGCUCAUGAGAAUACAGGAAAAUAAUAUCUUUCAUUAAAAUAAAAUUUAUCAUAGAGCUUAGCAACUUGUUUCUGCAUUCAUGCAGGAGAAUUAAUUUUAUUGUGCUGAGUGAUUUGACUAAAGUUCAAAAAUAUUUCAAAGUAAUUUUAAAAUGAAUUGGAAAAUGGCUUUAGAAUAAAAGAAAGGAAAAUAGAAAAAAAACAAAACCUUUUCGCCCUCAUUCUGGCCCGAAGGCCCAAACCCUCCUCUCCCCCUUCCUUUCCCCCACGGCCCGCUCCCCUCUUCGGCCCAGUACGCGCAACCGGCCCAGCCCUUGGCCUGCCCCGCGCCCUCUCCUUCACUCUUUCACUGAACAGUGGACCCCACUCGUCAGCUAACUUCAUCUCCCUCCUCUCGCCGUGUCCAGGGAGGACUCUCAAAGGAGAAUAUAUCUCCCAAUCCCAAUUUUCCCGGGGGUAAUCGCCUUAUGCGCACAAUUCAACCCCUAUAAAACCCUUGUUGAACGCGUGCGACCCCCUUCUCCUCCUGUUUCACGCC
Molecule: long non-coding RNA, 649 nt
Filed under: Sorghum bicolor (sorghum)
Lineage: Eukaryota; Viridiplantae; Streptophyta; Magnoliopsida; Poales; Poaceae
Description: long non-coding RNA (SBIC_LNC017465)
Source: RNAcentral